Non-coding RNA from Coffea arabica (coffee), 1975 nucleotides. Lineage: Eukaryota; Viridiplantae; Streptophyta; Magnoliopsida; Gentianales; Rubiaceae. The record is from RefSeq and is a predicted model, not a curated record.
GACCCACCAAAAACCAAUCUUUUGUUUCAGCCACAAAAACCGUUUCCUUAUCAAUUGCUGCCACAGAAACUGUUUCCUUCUUCUAGCAGACAUUCAUCACCGCCUACUACUAAAAUCUUCUCUGAUUCUCCGUCGUUAGCCAUUCUUCAAUUGCUGCAAAUUUAAGCUACGAUAAUUUCUCUGGAAUAACUACAAAUUCCCUCUUUUCAUACUCCAUAUUCACUUGAAAGUUUUCACCUUUGAUUACAAUAUUGGAGCUCCAAUUCAAGAGAGAAGCAUUGGAAGGAUAUGAAGUUGAUUGCUAAUCCAUCGUUGAUAACAAAUGAGAUUAAAAGCUUUAUUACAGGAAAGUAAUGGCGGUAAAUUGAAAAGGGGAACCAUCAGGAACAUUGCAAGCCUAUUUAAAACAAGUGUUAGGACAGUUCAGAGAAUUUGGAAGCUAGCAGCAAUUACUUCUACAGAUGGAAGAGUUGAUGUAUCACGCAGAUUUUCUAAAAGAUGCGGAAGAAAACGAGUGGAUAUUGAUUUUACUUUGAUCAUGGCAAUUCCUCUCCGGCGUCGGACAAACAUCAGGUCACUUUCCAGUGAAAUGAAAGUGUCCAAAUCAACCCUUCACCGACGAAUUAAAGAAGGUGCUAUAAGGCCACACUCAAAUGCACUCAAACCACAAUUGACAGAUCAGAAUAAGCAAGUAAGGCUUAACUUUUGCUUGUCAAUGCUUGAACCAGAAAGUCUCAACAGCAAUCCAACAUUUAUGAGUAUGUUCAAUGUUGUGCAUAUUGAUGAAAAGUGGUUUUACAUGACUAAAGAAUGUGAAAAAUAUUAUCUUCAUCCUCAAGAAGAAGAACCUCUUAGGACAUGUAAGAGCAAAAAGUUCAUUGUGAAAGUUAUGUUCCUAGCUGCUGUUGCUCGACCACGUUUUGACUGCUCUGGUAACCCAACAUUUGAUGGGAAAAUUGGGAUUUUUCCUUUUGUAUUCAAAGAACCAGCAAAGAGGAGUAGUAAAAAUCGUAUGGCAGGUACAUUAGAAACUAAGCCAAUAUUGUCAGUGACCAAGGAAGUAUAUAGGAGAUGUUUAAUUGAACAGGUUUUGCCUGCAAUACAUGCUAAAUGGCCACGGGAUGGUGGUAGUGUUACUGAAAUUUUGAUCCAACAGGAUAAUGCAAAACCACAUAUUAAUCCCACUGAUCCGGUAUUUAUUGAAGCUGCUUCUAGAGAUGGAUUUGAUAUUCACUUGUCAUUUCAGCCUCCUAAUAGUCCGGACAUGAAUGUUCUUGACUUGGGAUAUUUUAGAGCUAUACAAUCCUUGCAACAUCAAGAAGCACCCUUGUCAAUUGAUGAGCUAAUUCUUGCUGUGGAAAAGUCAUUUGAUGAAUUAUCAAGUGAAAGUCUAAACAAUGUUUUCUUAACAUUGCAAUCAUGUAUGGUAGAGGUGAUGAAAAAUCUUGGGGGAAAUAACUAUAAAGUGCCACACAUUGGGAAGCACCAUUUAAUGAAAGAAAGUUGUCUUCCACUGCAAAUAGAAUGUGAAAAAGAACUUGUGAAUCAAGCUCUAAGUCAUAUGCAAGCAUGAUUAUCUUCAUUGGACAGGUACUUAAACUUUGCUAAUCAUGUGUUUUGAACAAAAUGGUAUGGGUGUUCUAAUGUGCAAAAUAUGGUUGAAGUCAAGCAAUCCAACCCUUUUGAUUUUGUGAUGCAAGCUUUUGAUUGGGCAAAGAAUAUAGAAGCACUUUUAUGUACUAGUGGUUUUUCAUUGACUGCUUUUAUUUCACUUUACAAGAUUUUAGAAUAGCUCAGUCAAGUUAGCUUGACGUUAGUAGUAGUAGUGCUGAUUUUUGUACAAAAGGGAAAAUGUGCAAUGCUGAGUGAAGCUAUGUACAUGUAUAAACAUUGAAACACUACUUUUGUUGGAGUUUUUGAAACUGUCAAUAGCAUUAUUCUAUAAAGGGGAAAUAGUGCAUAUUGGUUUGCAUUC